RNAcentral lists this ribosomal RNA (254 nucleotides) under uncultured bacterium. RNAcentral's name for it is "partial 16S ribosomal RNA". It matches the Rfam family "Bacterial small subunit ribosomal RNA", at positions 524 to 776 of the family's 1533-position model. The record is from RNAcentral.
CACGUAGGGGGCAAGCGUUGUCCGGAUUUAUUGGGCGUAAAGAGCUCGUAGGUGGUUCGGUAAGUCGGGUGUUAAACCCCCAGGCUCAACCUGGGGACGCCACUCGAUACUGCUGUGACUAGAGUCCGGUAGGGGAGCGUGGAAUUCCUGGUGUAGCGGUGAAAUGCGUAGAGAUGCGGAGGAACACCGAUGGCGAAGGCAGCCCCCUGGGCCAACACUGACGCUCAGGCACGAAAGCGUGGGGAGCAAACAGG